AGCGCAGUUCGGGUCAUGAGCAACGGUGGAUUUGGUGAGAGCAAGAGGCCAUCGUUUUCUCCUCCUUCUCCAAUAGCCAAUGGCCACCCGUCAAAUAAGCGACAUAAAAUUUCUUCGAGCCCUCCACCACCAUCCUCGUUUUUGCCACUCUCUUUGGUAUCGCCUCCGGCCAAAACUCCAGUCAACUUGUUGCCACCGCUUCCUCCACCAAGCACGCCUUAUCCGCAAUCUUCUGCACCCUGAGAAUUUUUAUUGAUGAAUCCCAAGUGGAUGUUGUAUAAGUAGCAUGCUUUAGGUUCUGUCUAGGAUUCUGGGAUGGUAAUUAAGUUGGUG
RNAcentral lists this long non-coding RNA (333 nucleotides) under Elaeis guineensis (African oil palm). RNAcentral describes it as "long non-coding RNA (EGUI_LNC010428)". The record is from RNAcentral. Lineage: Eukaryota; Viridiplantae; Streptophyta; Magnoliopsida; Arecales; Arecaceae.